This is a long non-coding RNA of Vigna angularis (adzuki bean), 875 nucleotides long. RefSeq lists it as uncharacterized. The transcript is spliced from 4 exons. The record is from RefSeq and is a predicted model, not a curated record. Lineage: Eukaryota; Viridiplantae; Streptophyta; Magnoliopsida; Fabales; Fabaceae.
CUGAUUUGUUCGAGAUUAGGGCAUGUCCGAGAAAGAAGACAGAGGCAGGCAGUGAUCGUGGGAAGACGGAGCAGUGGUGGUUCGCGGUUGGCGACUUCUUCUUCGUUGUCAGUGGUUGUCUCUGUUUGGGGUUCGUUCUUUCGGGUUCGCUCUUUGGGGUUCGCAAUGUCUUCGAAUCACGGUUGUUCGUCUUGCUCAUAGGGGAGCUGUCGCGGUGGUUCAUCCAGAGGAUUGGUUGGAAGCAUGAUAUCAGAAUCCUCAAGGGGCACAGAACGAGCAUGAUCCAAAUAAUACAACUAUUUUUGUCGGCAAUUUGGAUCCUAAUGUUACCGAUGACCAUUUGAGACAAGUUUUUGGGCAGUAUGGAGAGUUAGUUCACGUGAAGAUUCCAGCUGGCAAGAGAUGUGGAUUUGUCCAAUUUGCGGACAGGAGCUGUGCAGAAGAAGCUUUGCGGGUUUUAAACGGCACACUUUUGGGUGGACAAAAUGUUCGGCUUUCAUGGGGCCGAAGUCCUUCAAACAAACAAGCCCAACCAGAUGCGAAUCAGUGGAAUGGCAGUGGUGGUUACUAUGGAUAUGCUGCGCAGGGUUAUGAAAAUUAUGGUUAUGCUCCUGCUGGACAAGAUCCCAAUAUGUAUGGCAGUUAUCCGGGCUACGCAAAUUACCAACCUCCUCAGCAACAACAGCAAAUAGGAUAUAGCUAAGCAAGUUCUGCCCCAAUUUUCCGUUUUCUUCUGUAAUCCUAUCCUAUCUAUGAUACUCGUUUUGGUUCUUACUCUAAUUGUCUCAUUGAGAACAAACUUGGCUCAUUUACCUUCCUAUCAUUGCUAUUAGCAUUAAACAUUCUAUGCGAACUUUUAUUUUGUACCCAUUAAA